AGAGUUUGAUCCUGGCUCAGGACGAACGCUGGCGGCGUGCCUAAUACAUGCAAGUCGAGCGGACAGAUGGGAGCUUGCUCCCUGAUGUUAGCGGCGGACGGGUGAGUAACACGUGGGUAACCUGCCUGUAAGACUGGGAUAACUCCGGGAAACCGGGGCUAAUACCGGAUGGUUGUUUGAACCGCAUGGUUCAAACAUAAAAGGUGGCUUCGGCUACCACUUACAGAUGGACCCGCGGCGCAUUAGCUAGUUGGUGAGGUAACGGCUCACCAAGGCAACGAUGCGUAGCCGACCUGAGAGGGUGAUCGGCCACACUGGGACUGAGACACGGCCCAGACUCCUACGGGAGGCAGCAGUAGGGAAUCUUCCGCAAUGGACGAAAGUCUGACGGAGCAACGCCGCGUGAGUGAUGAAGGUUUUCGGAUCGUAAAGCUCUGUUGUUAGGGAAGAACAAGUACCGUUCGAAUAGGGCGGUACCUUGACGGUACCUAACCAGAAAGCCACGGCUAACUACGUGCCAGCAGCCGCGGUAAUACGUAGGUGGCAAGCGUUGUCCGGAAUUAUUGGGCGUAAAGGGCUCGCAGGCGGUUUCUUAAGUCUGAUGUGAAAGCCCCCGGCUCAACCGGGGAGGGUCAUUGGAAACUGGGGAACUUGAGUGCAGAAGAGGAGAGUGGAAUUCCACGUGUAGCGGUGAAAUGCGUAGAGAUGUGGAGGAACACCAGUGGCGAAGGCGACUCUCUGGUCUGUAACUGACGCUGAGGAGCGAAAGCGUGGGGAGCGAACAGGAUUAGAUACCCUGGUAGUCCACGCCGUAAACGAUGAGUGCUAAGUGUUAGGGGGUUUCCGCCCCUUAGUGCUGCAGCUAACGCAUUAAGCACUCCGCCUGGGGAGUACGGUCGCAAGACUGAAACUCAAAGGAAUUGACGGGGGCCCGCACAAGCGGUGGAGCAUGUGGUUUAAUUCGAAGCAACGCGAAGAACCUUACCAGGUCUUGACAUCCUCUGACAAUCCUAGAGAUAGGACGUCCCCUUCGGGGGCAGAGUGACAGGUAGUGCAUGGUUGUCGUCAGCUCGUGUCGUGAGAUGUUGGGUUAAGUCCCGCAACGAGCGCAACCCUUGAUCUUAGUUGCCAGCAUUCAGUUGGGCACUCUAAGGUGACUGCCGGUGACAAACCGGAGGAAGGUGGGGAUGACGUCAAAUCAUCAUGCCCCUUAUGACCUGGGCUACACACGUGCUACAAUGGACAGAACAAAGGGCAGCGAAACCGCGAGGUUAAGCCAAUCCCACAAAUCUGUUCUCAGUUCGGAUCGCAGUCUGCAACUCGACUGCGUGAAGCUGGAAUCGCUAGUAAUCGCGGAUCAGCAUGCCGCGGUGAAUACGUCCCCGGGCCUUGUACACACCGCCCGUCACACCACGAGAGUUUGUAACACCCGAAGUCGGUGAGGUAACCUUUUAGGAGCCAGCCGCCGAAGGUGGGACA
This 1479-nucleotide ribosomal RNA is filed under the name metagenome. RNAcentral describes it as "bacterial SSU rRNA". It matches the Rfam family "Bacterial small subunit ribosomal RNA". The record is from RNAcentral.